Molecule: long non-coding RNA, 266 nt
Organism: Cyanistes caeruleus (blue tit)
Lineage: Eukaryota; Metazoa; Chordata; Aves; Passeriformes; Paridae
Source: RefSeq, a predicted model, not a curated record
ACAACCAAAGAAACAAACAGGCAGUUCUGUCAAGAAACAGUAAAGGAAGCCUGAUGUCCAAGAAGAUAUCUUGUCAUCUGCAACAAAAGUGGCAGCAGGAGAUGGCUAUAAUGUUCCUUUUCCCCUCAUGGAAGAAGAGAGGAAGACACAGAAAGAGAGUGAAAGUGUAAAAGGAAGCAGUAAAAUUGGAAAGAGGGAAUUUGGAAAACUCUUUCUCAGAUGUGGUUUGAUUCCUGGUAGACUAGAAUUACAGUGAAUAUUAUUUA